RNAcentral lists this ribosomal RNA (429 nucleotides) under Verrucomicrobiota bacterium. RNAcentral's name for it is "Verrucomicrobia bacterium partial 16S ribosomal RNA". It matches the Rfam family "Bacterial small subunit ribosomal RNA", at positions 355 to 776 of the family's 1533-position model. The record is from RNAcentral. Lineage: Bacteria; Pseudomonadati; Verrucomicrobiota.
UAGGGAAUCUUCCGCAAUGGACGAAAGUCUGACGGAGCAACGCCGCGUGAGUGAAGAAGGAUUUCGGUUCGUAAAACUCUGUUGUUAGGGAAGAAAAAAUGUAUAGUAACUAUAUACAAAAGAGACGGUACCUAACCAGAAAGCCACGGCUAACUACGUGCCAGCAGCCGCGGUAAUACGUAGGUGGCAAGCGUUGUCCGGAAUUAUUGGGCGUAAAGCGCGCGCAGGUGGUUUAGAAAGUCUGAUGUGAAAGCCCACGGCUCAACCGUGGAGGGUCAUUGGAAACUAAUAAACUUGAGUGCAGGAGAGAAAAGUGGAAUUCCUAGUGUAGCGAGGAAAUGCGUAGAGAUUAGGAGGAACACCGGUGGCGAAAGCGGCUUUUUGGCCUGCAACUGACACUGAGGCGCGAAAGCGUGGGGAGCAAACAGG